GAUGAACGCUGGCGGCGUGCUUAACACAUGCAAGUCGAACGGAGAUAACAUUUUCGAAGCGAUUAGUUUACUAAGAGCGGAGAUGUUGCUAUCUUAGUGGCGGACGGGUGAGUAACGCGUGGGUAACCUGCCUUGCACUGGGGGAUAACACUUAGAAAUAGGUGCUAAUACCGCAUAACAGGAGAAGACGCAUGUCUUUUACUUGAAAACUCCGGUGGUGUAAGAUGGACCCGCGUCUGAUUAGCUUGUUGGCGGGGUAACGGCCCACCAAGGCGACGAUCAGUAGCCGGCCUGAGAGGGUGAACGGCCACAUUGGGACUGAGACACGGCCCAA
Molecule: ribosomal RNA, 334 nt
Filed under: uncultured bacterium
Lineage: Bacteria
Description: bacterial SSU rRNA
Rfam family: Bacterial small subunit ribosomal RNA
Source: RNAcentral